AGUUAUAUUCCAGUGCCCUAUAUUUUUCUUCCCCUUUUGCCAUAGCUCAGCUAUUGAGACACCGACGGAAAAUCGUUGACUUUUCAAAAGCCGUAGAAUAUUUUUCACCUUCGAUUUCUUACCUCCUUCUUUUAAAUUUUUGUUCUAUUUAGUUUAAGAAACCCACAUGAUGAGGUGAAACAUUUUAUUUUAUUUUCUGCCAAAUUAUAUAGUCUCGCUCUAUUUUGUAUGGUUUGUUUUCUAUAUUGUCCCCACUUAUUGAAAUGUCACCUUUCACCAACUAUUAAAAAAGACUGCUUCUUCAUCGGCAUUUGAGGUCCUCUAGUCCUAAUCUUCAUUCGCGGCUUCAUCGGCUUCUUUAAACUCAUCUGGAUCACUUGCUGUCGCCCACGGACGGUUCAAGACGAACAGCUUCCGAAUUCAUUCCCAUGCAACCAGUCUGAUUACGGGACGUAAUCUCACGCCGCCGGGAGUGAUGUAACGAAGCCAAAUAGACAUCUUCAACAUAUAUUUCUUCUCGAUGUCUUUAUUACUCAUCAAGGGUGAACAUAUUAAUUGCACCGCAACAUACGCAGCGCGGGUGACCUAGAUGAACACCUGCAAGAUGAUUCACGCAGGCGAUACGUCAUCAAUAUCACGCCAUAUUGAACGCGUCUUUUAAUUGGUCAACCGCGUGCAGCCUACAAGCUCCUCCCAAUCACGCCACUUUGCAAUAUGCAAAGUUCCGUGGUUAACCCAGCAUCUGAGGAAGAUCAGACUAGAACUUGCAGCCGAUUCGAGUAGUUGCCUGAAAGCAUUUCUAUUACUUUAUUAAUGUUAUGCUUGAAUUUGUGCCUUUUACUUAACAUUUUAUUCGCCGAGUCAGUCCAGUAAAAUUGUUUAGACUUAGAAUUAUUCGCGGUGAUUCGACUGUCUAGUUCCAUUUGUUUUGAACUAUUGUUUGUGUAUCGCUCUCGUGGAAGUUGCGUAUCACGCCCGCCUUGUGUCGUUUUUCUUCUCGUUCUCUAUACGUGUGAUCACGGUACAAUAAGGAUAACAAGUACGCUGACAUUACCAUCACCAGUCAAUCCGACGAGCGCAACAUCGAUGGCAGCAGCCAAUGGAACUAUGCCCAGUCUGACUACACUACCCCUGAAGAAUGUCAAGUUCAGAGGAAAAUGCAAAGAAUUACCUACGACUCUUACAGAAAAGAAACUAAUGGCGAAGUCCUAGCCAACACCACCAAAGGGUCAUCUUACUGGGUUUCCUCUGAAGGCCAGAAGUUUACUUCAACGUGGACUGCUGGAUUCCAGCCUAACGGUGAACACUUGCCUGUCGCUCCUGUCCAUAUCUAUGAGCUCCCAGUUGCUCCUGUUCCAAAUAUGAACUCCAGGUUGCACCUGCUCUUCCUUAUUCACAAACUGAUCUUGGCUAUUAAGAUUGAAAUAUUAAUGUACUAUGCAAGUUUAAUUU
Long non-coding RNA from Daphnia carinata, 1452 nucleotides. RefSeq lists it as uncharacterized. The transcript is spliced from 3 exons. The record is from RefSeq and is a predicted model, not a curated record. NCBI's taxonomy places the organism in Eukaryota, Metazoa, Arthropoda, Branchiopoda, Diplostraca, Daphniidae.